GUGGAACUAUUGCAAAGACGAAAGCAAAGUGAUGCAGAGUUGGCCUUGGGUGUGGUCUGUGAGGCUUUGACAAUAAGCACCUAUUCGGAGAAACUACUCGAAUUGAAAGCAGAUGCUCUUCUUAUGCUGCGGAGGUACGAAGAGAUGAUUCAGCUAUGUGAGAAGACACUUGAAUUGGCCAAGUCAAAUGCUCCGCCAUAUAAUUUUGGUUACCAGUCAUCAGAGUUAGAUAGUGCGAUCACAGAGAGAAGUGCUUCCUCUGGGCUCUGGUGUAUUUCUAAAAUAGUGAAGUCAUACUUUUAUCUCGGGAAGCUUGAAGAGGCUGAUAAUUUUCUGAAGAACCAAGAGAAAUCGAUGCGUCUGAUGGAAAGUAGUGAACUCGAGAAUUUAGAAGCAGUUGUUCCUCUUGCUGGAACAAUACGUGAGCUCUUACGCUU
RNAcentral lists this unclassified non-coding RNA (437 nucleotides) under Hevea brasiliensis (rubber tree). The record is from RNAcentral. Lineage: Eukaryota; Viridiplantae; Streptophyta; Magnoliopsida; Malpighiales; Euphorbiaceae.